CAGCCGCGGUAAUCCAGCUCCAAUAGCGUAUAUUAAAGUUGUUGCAGUUAAAAAGCUCGUAGUUGAAUUUCGGGAUUGACACAUCGGUCGUGCCUUAAGGGGUAUGAACUGGUGUAGUCAAUUUCUCACCUUCUGGAGAACCGCGAUGCCCUUAAUUGGGUGUCGCGGGGAACCAGGACCUUUACUUUGAAAAAAUUAGAGUGUUUAAAGCAGGCAUUUUGCUUGAAUACAUUAGCAUGGAAUAAUAAAAUAGGACGGCAUGAUUCUAUUUUGUUGGUUUCUAGGAUCACCGUAAUGAUUAAUAGGGAUAGUUGGGGGCAUUAGUAUUCAAUUGUCAGAGGUGAAAUUCUUGGAUUUAUUGAAGACUAACUACUGCGAAAGCAUUUGCCAAGGAUGUUUUCAUUAAUCAAGAACGAAAGUUAGGGGAUCGAAGACGAUCAGAUACCGUCGUAGUCUUAACCAUAAACUAUGCCGACUAGGAAUCAGACGAUGUUAAUUUUUUAAUGACUCGUUUGGCACCUUACG
Molecule: unclassified non-coding RNA, 525 nt
Filed under: uncultured Glomeromycotina
Lineage: Eukaryota; Fungi; Glomeromycota
Description: SSU rRNA
Rfam family: Eukaryotic small subunit ribosomal RNA
Source: RNAcentral